AUUGAACGCUGGCGGCAGGCCUAACACAUGCAAGUCGAGCGGAUGAAGGGAGCUUGCUCCUGGAUUCAGCGGCGGACGGGUGAGUAAUGCCUAGGAAUCUGCCUGGUAGUGGGGGAUAACGUCCGGAAACGGGCGCUAAUACCGCAUACGUCCUGAGGGAGAAAGUGGGGGAUCUUCGGACCUCACGCUAUCAGAUGAGCCUAGGUCGGAUUAGCUAGUUGGUGGGGUAAAGGCCUACCAAGGCGACGAUCCGUAACUGGUCUGAGAGGAUGAUCAGUCACACUGGAACUGAGACACGGUCCAGACUCCUACGGGAGGCAGCAGUGGGGAAUAUUGGACAAUAGGCGAAAGCAUGAUCCAGCCAUGCCGCGUGUGUGAAGAAGGUCUUCGGAUUGUAAAGCACUUUAAGUUGGGAGGAAGGGCAGUAAGUUAAUACCUUGCUGUUUUGACGUUACCAACAGAAUAAGCACCGGCUAACUUCGUG
Molecule: ribosomal RNA, 484 nt
Filed under: uncultured bacterium
Lineage: Bacteria
Description: partial 16S ribosomal RNA
Rfam family: Bacterial small subunit ribosomal RNA
Source: RNAcentral